Molecule: ribosomal RNA, 238 nt
Filed under: uncultured bacterium
Lineage: Bacteria
Description: partial 16S ribosomal RNA
Rfam family: Bacterial small subunit ribosomal RNA
Source: RNAcentral
UGAGUGACCUGCCGAUUUGUGGGGGAUAGCCGGGCCAACGCCCGGGUAAUACCGCAUACGCUCUUCUUGGGGCUUCUCUAGAAGAGGAAGCCUCCGGGGCAAAUCGAGGGACUCGUGGCCUAUCAGCUAGUUGGCGAGGUAACGGCUCACCAAGGCUACGACGGGUAGCUGGUCUGAGAGGAUGGCCAGCCACAUUGGGACUGAGAUACGGCCCAGACCUCCGUACGGGAGCAGCAGG